GACGAACGCUGGCGGCGUGCUUAACACAUGCAAGUCGAACGAAGAGCGAGGGAAGCUUGCUUCUAUCAAUCGUAGUGGCGAACGGGUGAGUAACGCGUAAGCAACCUGCCCUUCAGAGGGGGACAACAGUUGGAAAAGACUGCCAAUACCGCAUACGAUCUAAUCUCGGCAGCGAGGAGAGAGGAAAGGUGGCCGCUAGAGGUAAGCCAUAACUGAAGGAGGGGAGUGCGUCUGAUUCGCUAGAUGGGGGGGCAACGGCGCACCAAGGCGAGGAUCAGUAGCCGGUCUCCGAGGCUGCACUGCCACAUUGGGCCUGGGACACGGCCCAGCCCCCUGCGGGAGGCAGCAGUGGGGAAUCUUCCGCGAUGGCCGCAAGUCUGACGGAGCAACGCCGCGUGAGUGCUGACGGCCUUCGGGUUGUGAAGCUCUGUUAAUCGGUACGAAAGGCCUUCUUGCGAAUCGUGAGAAGGAUUGACGGUACCGGAAUAGAAAGCCCCGGCUAACUCCGUG
Molecule: ribosomal RNA, 510 nt
Filed under: uncultured bacterium
Lineage: Bacteria
Description: partial 16S ribosomal RNA
Rfam family: Bacterial small subunit ribosomal RNA
Source: RNAcentral